AUCGAACUAUGCCUACGCCAUGCUGUGGAUGACUUGGCUGGGGAACCGAUGAAGGUCGUGGUAAGCCGCGAAAGGCCUCGGGGAGACGCAAACAGUCUACGAUCCGAGGGUCACCGAAUGGGGAUCCCGACACAGCCUAAUAAGUUGUGUCAACCAGUAAUGGUGGGGAACGUGGGGAACCGAAACAUCCAAGUACCCACAGGAAAAGAAAACAAUUGUGAUUCCGUGAGUAACGGCGAGUGAAAGCGGAACAGGUCAAACCGAAUUCCCUUUUCGAAAGAUUAGGGUAGAUGUGGUGUUUGUGACUGCAAUAUGGACCGUCAGCGUGAAGUCGAAGACAAUGUGGAACAUUGCGCCAUAGAGGGUAAAAGCCCCGUAGACGUAAGCGCUCGGCCUAGCAGGAUCAAGACUAGCGUGGCUUGGAUUUGUCGCGCAAAUAUGGGAAAACUAUGUCCCAAACCUAAAUAUUCCCCCAGACCGAUAGCGCACUAGUAGCGUGAGCAAAAGUUGAAAAGUAUCCAAAAUAUGGGAGUGAAAAGACCCUGAAACAGCAUGGUAACAGACGUGGAUGGCUCGAAAGCGUAGAUUCUCAGCGAAGGAACUCACCGUGAGGUGUUAGUACGAGCUGAGAGGAGCGGGGUCAUCCGUUCCGUCUAGAAACACGGGCCGAGGAGUUCAGAUUCGUGGCGAGCCUAAACGUAUGUGGUGGCGUAGCGAAAGCGACCUGCACGCAGCACUUAUGUGCCAGGUGCGACGUACGAUAAGUGCGUGAAGUCACGGGUCUGAGACACGAAAGGAGUCGAUCUACCCCUGGUUAAGGUGAAGCGCUUCGAAAGGAGCGUGGAGGCCUGAAGGGUUUCUAAUAUGCAAUUUGUUCCUCUGAACUGGGGGUAGUGGCAAAAGACCAAUCUAGACUCCUGAUAGCUUGUUCCCGCCGAAGUAUAACCACAGUAUAGCGUCACCGGAGGUUGCAUGUGAGGUAGAGCUACGGACGGGUUGUCCCGGGGAGUGAAAUCCUCGCCAAUCCUUCCAACUCCGAACUUGCAUGCGCCGUAGAUGGUGGCAGACGGGCGUGUAUCCGCAAGGGAUAUGGCCGCGAGGGGUUCAACCCAGAGGUUGGUUAAGGGCCCUAAAUCCUGGUUAAAUGUUAAACUGAAUGACGUCCAACGGCUUAGACAAUGAGGCGGUAAGCUUAGAAGCAGCUAUCCGUUAAAAAAAGCGUAACAGCUUACUCAUCGAGCUGUUGGGCUCAGAAAAUGGACGGGGCUAAACCAGGUCCCGAUACCAAUCCGAACUUCAAAAGAGUUUUGGGUAGGCGGGCGAUCAGGUUGGGCUGAAGCUGGGGGGUGACUCCCAGUGGACCGGCUUGAUUUGCAGAUCUCGGCGGUAGUAGGAGCAUAGUGAGGUGAGAAUCCUCAUCGCCGAAAGCCCAAGGGUUCCUUGGCACUGUUCGUCAGCCAAGGGUUAGUCGGUCCUAAGGGUGAUCUUAACACGAAUCACUCGAAAGGGAAACAGGUUCAUAUUCCUGUACCGCGCAUAUAGGUGUGGUGACACAAGCUUUGAGCAGACACUGGUGGGUAGGUGGCCUAGGAGCGUAUCCUAGUUAAAUCCCGAAUUCUGGGGAGAACCGUUAUGGUGAGAACCAGAAGAAUGGAUGAAUAGGCUGGCCAUCGGUUGCUGGCUGCCAUCAAUCCCAACAGUCCAUGAAAAUGCGAGAAGAACGAUUAUGCGCGACCGUACCCAGAACCGUGACAGGUGUGGCUAGCUGAGAAGGCUAAGGCGUGUUAGGAGAAAUCAGGUGAAGGAAAUCGGCAAAUUAGCCCCGUAUCUUGGGUAUAAGGGGUGCCUGGAAAGGUGUAUGCCUUCCCAGGUCGCAGUGACAAGGGGCACCCGACUGUUUAAUAAAAACAUAGCAAACUGCAAGGGUGAAAACCUGUGUACAGUUUGUGAAUCCUGGCCGGUGCUGGUGAUUGAAACCUGGGUACAACCAGGCUAAGACCCAGUAAACGCCGGAGCUAACUAUGAGCUUCUUAAGGUAGGCAAAUGCCUUGUCUGCUAAUUACAGACGUCCAUGAAGGGACCAACGAGGUGCCCACUGUCUCCACCUGAAUCCUACUGAACCCACAGUCCAGCGAACAGUCUGGAAUGCACCAUCGGGAAGAGAAGACCCUGUAGAGCUUUACUGCUGUCAGAGGCUGUUGUACUGGUGCUCAUACAUAGAAUAGUCAGGAGGCGUCGAUCCUACAUUCUCCGGGAUGUAGGGGAGCCGACAGUGAAAUACUGACUUUGAGCAUUGGUACGACUCACCUCUUGCGAGGGGGACACCCUCUGCCUGGCAGUUUCACUGGGGCGGUAGCCUCUUGAAAAGAUAUCAAGAGGGCCCAAAGCCAAGCUCAACCGGGACAGAAAUCCGGUGUAGAGUGCAAGGGCAAAAGCUUGGUUGACUGUGAACUGAUAGAGAAGGUUCGCAGAUGUUAACGCAGGGCCUAGCGAUCCUUCGCAUUGCCCAUAGUAGGCGGCGGAGGUGGCGGAAAAGUUACCUCAGGGGUAACUACACUUUGAUGUUACACUAUCAAAGUGGCUAGACAAAAAGGAACUUUUCCUGCAUUGCACUUUAUCUUUUCAAGGGCACGAAAAAAUGAAACAAAAAAAUAAAGCUAAGGUGGGUCAAAUUUUACCCGAAUGAAUAAUAUACCGCAAAAAAAAGUUAUCGAGUGAGGAUUACUUACAAGUUUUCGCCUAAUGGUCAAAAGGAAAACUUGAGCGGAUUAGAACGGAUCCAACAUCUGCCUUAACCAUCAAGAAAAAAGACCCUUGGAAAAGAUGAAGAGCCAUUUUGAAAGUGUGAGGUCAAGAGGUUAUUAGAUCGGUAACUUGCCUUAAGCCGAGGCUGACAACUAAUCUAAUAACCGAAGUCGAAAAGACUGGUGUAGCCCUGAACAGAGUUGUCGUGGGUAAGAGUUCACAUCGACCUCACGGCUUGCUACCUCGAUGUCGGCUCUUCCUAGCUUGGAGGUGAUUCAGCUUCCAAGAGUGGGGUUGUUCGCCCAUUAAAAGGGAACGUGAGCUGGGUUUAGACCGUUGUGAGACAGGUUGGAUUCUAUCUGAUGGUGCUGGCGGGAGAUUGAGAGUAAAACCUCCACAGUACGAGAGGAACAGGCGGUUGGGGCCUCUGGUGUAUCGGUUGUCCUCCCGGGCAUUGCCGAGUAGCUAAGCCCUUGAAGAUAAGAGCGGAAAGCAUCUAUGCUCGAAGCUUCUCUCGAAACGAGUCUCCCAUUCUGUACCUUUUGGGGGCUGGUGACAGCAACCUUUGGUAUAGACGAGAGCACGGAAAGAAGAUCCGGUUGAUAGAGCAGGGGUGUGCGCGUCGAGCUUCGGCGAGAUGUUUAGCCCACUGCUACUAAUCGCUCAAGCGUAGUUCGAC
This 3424-nucleotide ribosomal RNA is filed under the name Candidatus Heimdallarchaeum aukensis. RNAcentral describes it as "23S ribosomal RNA". It matches the Rfam family "Archaeal large subunit ribosomal RNA". The record is from RNAcentral. Lineage: Archaea; Promethearchaeati; Candidatus Heimdallarchaeota; Candidatus Heimdallarchaeia (ex Rinke et al. 2021) (nom. nud.); Candidatus Heimdallarchaeales; Candidatus Heimdallarchaeaceae.